This 554-nucleotide ribosomal RNA is filed under the name Thermothelomyces thermophilus. Its description in RNAcentral is "eukaryotic LSU rRNA". The stretch from base 200 to 353 matches the Rfam family "5.8S ribosomal RNA". The record is from RNAcentral. Lineage: Eukaryota; Fungi; Ascomycota; Sordariomycetes; Sordariales; Chaetomiaceae.
UCCGUUGGUGAACCAGCGGAGGGAUCAUUACAGAGUUGCAAAACUCCCUAAACCAUCGUGAACGCUACCUAAACCGUUGCUUCGGCGGGCGGCGCCCUCGCGCGCCCCCCUGGGGCCCGCACCGCGGGCGCCCGCCGGAGGUACACCAAACUCUUGAUAUGUUAUGGCCACUCUGAGUCUCCUGUACUGAAUAAGUCAAAACUUUCAACAACGGAUCUCUUGGUUCUGGCAUCGAUGAAGAACGCAGCGAAAUGCGAUAAGUAAUGUGAAUUGCAGAAUUCAGUGAAUCAUCGAAUCUUUGAACGCACAUUGCGCCCGCCAGCAUCCUGGCGGGCAUGCCUGUUCGAGCGUCAUUUCAACCCAUCAAGCCCACGGCUUGUGUUGGGGACCUGCGGCUGCCCGCAGGCCCUGAAAACCAGUGGCGGGCUCGCUAGUCACACCGGGCGUAGUAGCAUACGACCUCGCUCAGGGCGUGCUGCGGGUUCCAGCCGUAAAACGACCUUCAGAACCCAAGGUUGACCUCGGAUCAGGWAGGAGGACCCGCUGAACUUAAG